Molecule: ribosomal RNA, 508 nt
Filed under: uncultured bacterium
Lineage: Bacteria
Description: partial 16S ribosomal RNA
Rfam family: Bacterial small subunit ribosomal RNA
Source: RNAcentral
GACGAACGCUGGCGGCGUGCCUAAUACAUGCCAGUCGAACGCUUCUUUCCUCCCGAGUGCUUGCACUCAAUUGGAAAGAGGAGUGGCGGACGGGUGAGUAACACGUGGGUAACCUACCCAUCAGAGGGGGAUAACACUUGGAAACAGGUGCUAAUACCGCAUAACAGUUUAUGCCGCAUGGCAUAAGAGUGAAAGGCGCUUUCGGGUGUCGCUGAUGGAUGGACCCGCGGUGCAUUAGCUAGUUGGUGAGGUAACGGCUCACCAAGGCCACGAUGCAUAGCCGACCUGAGAGGGUGAUCGGCCACACUGGGACUGAGACACGGCCCAGACUCCUACGGGAGGCAGCAGUAGGGAAUCUUCGGCAAUGGACGAAAGUCUGACCGAGCAACGCCGCGUGAGUGAAGAAGGUUUUCGGAUCGUAAAACUCUGUUGUUAGAGAAGAACAAGGACGUUAGUAACUGAACGUCCCCUGACGGUAUCUAACCAGAAAGCCACGGCUAACUACGUG